GUUGUCCGGAUUUAUUGGGCGUAAAGAGCGUGUAGGCGGCCAGACAGGUCCGUUGUGAAAACUGGAGGCUUAACCUUCAGACGUCGAUGGAAACCGUCUGGCUAGAGUCCGGAAGAGGAGAGUGGAAUUCCUGGUGUAGCGGUGAAAUGCGCAGAUAUCAGGAAGAACACCCGUGGCUAAGGCGGCUCUCUAGUACGGUACUGACGCUGAGACGCGAAAGCGUGGGGAGCGAACAGG
RNAcentral lists this ribosomal RNA (237 nucleotides) under uncultured bacterium. RNAcentral describes it as "partial 16S ribosomal RNA". It matches the Rfam family "Bacterial small subunit ribosomal RNA", at positions 540 to 776 of the family's 1533-position model. The record is from RNAcentral.